Long non-coding RNA from Polypterus senegalus (gray bichir), 464 nucleotides. RefSeq lists it as uncharacterized. NCBI's taxonomy places the organism in Eukaryota, Metazoa, Chordata, Cladistia, Polypteriformes, Polypteridae. The record is from RefSeq and is a predicted model, not a curated record. The transcript is spliced from 4 exons.
AUGCCCUAGCAAGAGGUAGGUGGUUACCUGGAGAGGGAGACAAUGGUAGGACAACAUGUUUUGCAGCCACCUACCAAUGGAGAUUGGUGAAGACCAGAAGACUGACUGCUCUCCUCCAGCAAUGUCACUUCCGGUAUCCACCCAAAUGGACGCCUCUUGAACAAGACAAUGACUGGAAGAACCGCCAUCUUGAACGGCCUGAAUAGGACUCCAGUGAGCACAAAGUAUUCUUUGUUACACAUAAGGGUCAUCUACUGUGCUCAUCAGAGGAACACUUAAGAACUUCACUUCCUGUUUUAGCAUAAGACCAUCUCUGGAAUGAUGCUACUUUCCUUUGAUGACCCGUCUCUUCCUCCCUCUCCACCAUAUAAACCCGAUGAUCCUCCCGGUCUUCAGUCUGUUAUAUGACUCAAUUCGAAGAGACUACUCUCAGUUCUAACCUACAGUUAUUUUGCCUGACAAUA